This 212-nucleotide long non-coding RNA is filed under the name Homo sapiens (human). RNAcentral describes it as "HSALNT0347294". The record is from RNAcentral. Lineage: Eukaryota; Metazoa; Chordata; Mammalia; Primates; Hominidae.
AUUAUGUUCUGGCCUGAGGAAUGUGGGCAGAAAGAGAGGCAAAAAAACAAAACAAAACAAAACCUUCAGGAUCCUAGGCUUUCACAAAACCAGAACACAGAAUGAGACUGGGUCCCUGAAUCUGCUUGGAGAUUGGAAGGCAUCUCCUGAGGUUCUCUGCAUCACUGACUCCUCGUUCUUCAGGUCUCAGCUCAAAUGCUGCUUCUUCAGAG